CUGACUUUUCGUUUCGCUGGACGUGGAUUAAUAAGUCCUUUGUUAGCGGCGUCAGGGAGUCCGACAAUCCCGUCAUUGAUCCGUGUAGUUGCCUUUGGGGAUACGUUUUCAGAGAGUUUGGCCGUCUGAUCUUGCUGUUGAGGUUGGGUGCACACUGUCACCGCUCCCUGAAAGAUUUCGAGAGAGCGUACGGUCACAGGGGCCGGGAGGCAAAGAUUUCCCUUAUUUUGAUUUCACAGUCUGUUUGAUUGUGUAAUUGUAGUUCUUUUCACCCUUGCCGCACGGCAGGUGUUCGCGAUAUCACUCUCGCAGUCGUUCCGGGUGCGCUUGCAUUCACCACCUGCUAUUGACUGUUUGAUUUAAAAAACCAAAAUUAGUUGAAAACGUAGCCUCUCAAGGCGCUAUACCCCAUCUAUCAUACUCUGUCUC
RNAcentral lists this ribosomal RNA (429 nucleotides) under Mucor circinelloides. Its description in RNAcentral is "partial large subunit ribosomal RNA". The record is from RNAcentral. Lineage: Eukaryota; Fungi; Mucoromycota; Mucoromycetes; Mucorales; Mucoraceae.